This is a long non-coding RNA of Lucilia sericata (common green bottle fly), 271 nucleotides long. RefSeq lists it as uncharacterized. The transcript has 2 exons. The record is from RefSeq and is a predicted model, not a curated record. Lineage: Eukaryota; Metazoa; Arthropoda; Insecta; Diptera; Calliphoridae.
UAUAAAAAGGUUAUGAACUUGAAAAUUAUACAACAGUUCCAAUAAGCUUCAUAGCGGAAAAGAGUUAUUUGAUUGUGGAAAAUAUGAAACUAAUUAAUUUAUUCCUUGUAGUCGCUUGUAUUGUUGCCAGUGCUAUGGCUACUCCGUCAAAUUAUAAUGCUCAAGGCGUUCUUAACACGGGAUUCUUUAAUCAAGGAGGAGUUGGAAAAUAAUAAAAAUUAUUGCAUUCACAUUUAUGACACUAAUAAAGAUUGAAAUAUAUUUAAUCCAA